RNAcentral lists this ribosomal RNA (670 nucleotides) under uncultured bacterium. RNAcentral's name for it is "bacterial SSU rRNA". It matches the Rfam family "Bacterial small subunit ribosomal RNA", at positions 88 to 744 of the family's 1533-position model. The record is from RNAcentral.
AAAGCGAGCGGCGGAUGGGUGAGUAACACGUGGGGAACCUGCCCCUAAGUCUGGGAUACCAUUUGGAAACAGGUGCUAAUACCGGAUAAUAAAGCAGAUCGCAUGAUCAGCUUUUGAAAGGCGGCGUAAGCUGUCGCUAAGGGAUGGCCCCGCGGUGCAUUAGCUAGUUGGUAAGGUAACGGCUUACCAAGGCGACGAUGCAUAGCCGAGUUGAGAGACUGAUCGGCCACAUUGGGACUGAGACACGGCCCAAACUCCUACGGGAGGCAGCAGUAGGGAAUCUUCCACAAUGGACGCAAGUCUGAUGGAGCAACGCCGCGUGAGUGAAGAAGGUUUUCGGAUCGUAAAGCUCUGUUGUUGGUGAAGAAGGAUAGAGGUAGUAACUGGCCUUUAUUUGACGGUAAUCAACCAGAAAGUCACGGCUAACUACGUGCCAGCAGCCGCGGUAAUACGUAGGUGGCAAGCGUUGUCCGGAUUUAUUGGGCGUAAAGCGAGCGCAGGCGGAAAAAUAAGUCUAAUGUGAAAGCCCUCGGCUUAACCGAGGAACUGCAUCGGAAACUGUUUUUCUUGAGUGCAGAAGAGGAGAGUGGAACUCCAUGUGUAGCGGUGGAAUGCGUAGAUAUAUGGAAGAACACCAGUGGCGAAGGCGGCUCUCUGGUCUGCAACUGAC